GCUUGUCUCAAAGAUUAAGCCAUGCAUGUCUAAGUAUAAACAAAUCUAUACUGUGAAACUGCGAAUGGCUCAUUAUAUCAGUUAUAGUUUAUUUGAUGGUUCUUGCUACUUGGAUAACCGUAGUAAUUCUAGAGCUAAUACAUGCAUCAAACCCCGACUCACGAAGGGGUGUAUUUAUUAGAUGGAAACCAAUGCGGGGCAACCCGGUAUAUGGUGAUUCAUAAUAACUUUCGGAUCGAUCUUCGGAUCGAUGCAUCAUUCAAGUUUCUGCCCUAUCAACUUUCGAUGGUAAGGUAUUGGCUUACCAUGGUUGCAACGGGUAACGGAGAAUUAGGGUUCGAUUCCGGAGAGGGCGCCUGAGAAAUGGCGACCACAUCCAAGGAAGGCAGCAGG
RNAcentral lists this ribosomal RNA (393 nucleotides) under uncultured Chrysophyceae. RNAcentral describes it as "partial small subunit ribosomal RNA". It matches the Rfam family "Eukaryotic small subunit ribosomal RNA", at positions 30 to 432 of the family's 1831-position model. The record is from RNAcentral. Lineage: Eukaryota; Chrysophyceae.